This 212-nucleotide unclassified non-coding RNA is filed under the name plant metagenome. Its description in RNAcentral is "partial contains small subunit ribosomal RNA, internal transcribed spacer 1, and 5.8S ribosomal RNA". The record is from RNAcentral.
UCUCCGUUGGUGAACCAGCGGAGGGAUCAUUACAGGAUCGAAAGACUCCUAUAACCCCUGUGAACUUACUACAAAUACGUUGCUUCGGCGGGUGCCCCGGGUCUCCCGGGGCGUUCAGCCCGCCGGCAGCCUCCAAAUUCUGUUUCUUUGCGUUGGCAUCUCGAGUAUACAAAAAUAAGUUAAAACUUUCAACAACGGAUCUCUUGGUUCUG